UGCCAGACUCCUACGGGAGGCAGCAGUGGGGAAUAUUGCACAAUGGGGGAAACCCUGAUGCAGCGACGCCGCGUGAAGGACGAAGUAUUUCGGUACGUAAACUUCUCUCAGCAGGGAAGAAAAUGACGGUACCUGACCAAGAAGCCCCGGCUAACUACGUGCCAGCAGCCGCGGUAAUACGUAGGGGGCAAGCGUUAUCCGGAUUUACUGGGUGUAAAGGGAGCGUAGACGGCCAUGCAAGUCUGAUGUGAAAACCCGGGGCCCAACCCCGGGAGUGCAUUUGAAACUGCCAUGCUGGAGUGCCGGAGAAGUAAGCGGAAUUCCUAGUGUAGCGGUGAAAUGCGUAGAUAUUAGGAGGAACACCAGUGGCGGAGGCGGCUUACUGGACGGUAACUGACGCUGAGGCUCGAAAGCGUGGGGAGCAAACAGGAUUAGAUACCCCGGUAAUC
Molecule: ribosomal RNA, 449 nt
Filed under: uncultured bacterium
Lineage: Bacteria
Description: bacterial SSU rRNA
Rfam family: Bacterial small subunit ribosomal RNA
Source: RNAcentral